UACGGAGGGUGCAAGCGUUAAUCGGAAUUACUGGGCGUAAAGCGCAUGCAGGCGGUUGAGUAAGUCAGAUGUGAAAUCCCCGGGCUCAACCUGGGAACUGCAUUCGAUACUGGUAAGCUUGAGUCUCGUAGAGGGGGGUAGAAUUCCAGGUGUAGCGGUGAAAUGCGUAGAGAUCUGGAGGAAUACCGGUGGCGAAGGCGGCCCCCUGGACGAAGACUGACGCUCAGAUGCGAAAGCGUGGGGAGCAAACAGG
RNAcentral lists this ribosomal RNA (253 nucleotides) under uncultured bacterium. RNAcentral describes it as "partial 16S ribosomal RNA". It matches the Rfam family "Bacterial small subunit ribosomal RNA", at positions 524 to 776 of the family's 1533-position model. The record is from RNAcentral.